Schizosaccharomyces pombe (fission yeast) is the source of this 1503-nucleotide non-coding RNA. The record is from the annotation of a GenBank genome assembly. NCBI's taxonomy places the organism in Eukaryota, Fungi, Ascomycota, Schizosaccharomycetes, Schizosaccharomycetales, Schizosaccharomycetaceae.
AAUUUUGAGAUUUGCUGCUUUUUCCAAAUCUUAGUCUAGGUUAAUUUGAUCGUGAAAUUUAGAGUACAGCAUUGAUUUCAACUCUUGAAUGCGGGUUUCGUCUUUUUCCAUGGAAGAUCUUAAUACGUCGACUUGCUUUUCCAAACUUUCUUCUGACUGCUCAAGCUGGUCAAGGAGUACAGGAAGGGAAACUUGGAAAAAGGCAUCGCCAACCUUUAAAGCUGGAAUAUCGUCUCCAUCAUCCUCGUCUAGUAAUUCACAUUCAUUUUUAGCGUCAACAAUAUCCUCUAUUUGCGUUUUUAAAUUCUUAAUAUCAAGUUCUUGAAUGGCCUUUCGAGAAUGCAACACUGAAAAUUCAUUUAAAUUCCUUUGAUCUUCUGCUAGAACAGGAACUUGUUCCAUAUUUGUUGCUAAGGUGUGUUAGGAGGAAUAGUAUAUAACCCGGUUUCGUUUGUCUUAACAAACAAUUGUUGGUGUAGAGAUCAAUGCGGUCAAGUAGAGGUUUAAGUGGAACAGUUGAAUGAUAUGUCAAAACAGAAGGAUUAUUAAUUAGUAUAGUAUUUUAUCUACAAAUUUAAAGAACAAAAGCUAUUUUCUACAAUUGAGGUCUUCAGAUCCGUAAUGUUUUUGCUGUCAAAUAACAGGUCAAAAUUUUACUAUAGAUUCACAGGGUAUUAUAAACUAAAACCAGAGAAUACGGAUUAAAUUGACUUUUAAUUUAGUUUUAAUCAUGGGGAAUAAUAUUUAAUAAGACAAAGUCUUAGCAAGCAUACCCGUUUAUAACAGGUUAUCUUUAGGAUUUUUCGGCAUCGUCAACUGCUUUUAUUAUAGGCUGAGUUAGCGGAGAAAGGACUUGAUGAAUAUAUAGCAACCAAAGAGAGAGAUACUUGGGAUCCUCUUUGUCUAUCUGAAGCAUUUCGAAAUAAUCACGCGUACGACAUGGAUGGAUAUACCAUGCUAUGCCUACUGUACCUGGACAGUCCCCAAUAGCAAGAGCGUCAUAUGCUAAAUUUUGACUGGAUCCUUCUAAUAACUCAAAAAUCUGUUCCAUCUUGGUAAGAGGAUCUGAUCCGUUUGCAUAAGGUUGAAAGAAGAACUGCGGGACUUCGAAGGAUGGAGAAUCCCUAAUCCAGGCGUGCAUAGUGAUCAUUGGAUUCAUAAGGCUUAAAAUAUCAUCUUCUUCCUGCUCGUAUAAUAAGGAAUCAUUUUUAUCAAGUAGCUCAGUAUGCCAUUCUAACUUCAAAAUACACUCAUCAAACUCAAUCAACUCACAAGAAAUACCACCUUUCGACAGCUUCUGAGCAAGGAUAAGUAAUUGAGACUUAAAGCUCAUUAUUGUCACGGUUAGCCAAUUUAAUCACUUUAUCUUUGCUAAAGCAAUAAGUAAUUGAAGAAGGAAUUAUUGUCCCAUAAGCCUGGCUACAGUCUGAUUGUUCAACGCACUAUUCCAAUGAGGGCAAUAGAGGCAAUCACCUGUCAAUAUAUUUGAAGUUAAGUCUCGAC